This 8566-nucleotide long non-coding RNA is filed under the name Coffea arabica (coffee). RNAcentral's name for it is "long non-coding RNA (CARA_LNC004844)". Lineage: Eukaryota; Viridiplantae; Streptophyta; Magnoliopsida; Gentianales; Rubiaceae. The record is from RNAcentral.
AAAUUGAAGCCAUAAAAAGCUUAUCAACCCAAAAGAAAACAAACCCGCCAACGAAAGAAGAUAAAAACAAAAUACUGAUCAAAACUGGAGAAAUGGGAGGUACUACUUCUUGUAAUCAUCUCUGUUGGUGAGGUGGUAGCGACGUAUGACAUCAUUUUCUCGGUGACCUCCCUCUCUUUUCCACUCCAAGAAAUUGACCUUCUUCAAGAGUUUCUUCUCAUGAUGCUUGAGCUUUCUCAUCUUCAGAUCGCAAAAACCAAAAACCCUAAACCCUUCGACGGAGGCCGAGUGCAAGACGAAGAAAGAGUGGCAGUUUUCAGUUUGAAGCCUGUGAAAAUUCGUCAGUUUUGCGUAUUGGGUUUAUAGUAGUCAGAGGCCAUUGGGUAGAAGAGCAGUCCAGCCCAAAAAGAAUUGAUCCCGUUUGCCAAGCCCCUUCUCGUAGACCUUCGGACAAGCAAUCAGUCAGCUUGACACUUUUUUUGAUGGUUAAUUCCACUUUGCAACCUUCAACCAUACAUGGAUGUCCACUUUGAUCCCCGUCCUCUAAAAUGAAACACUUUAAAUAUACAAUUUAUCACAGUUUUUGUCAUUAAACUAUGAUUCCACUUUUAAUCCCUCAGAGCAUAGAAUUUAUCCCACUUAAGUACAAUAAUUUGUUUCACCUACGUUAACGAUUUUACUUUAAGUGUGACAGAUUUUUAUAUUUAAAGAACUAAGCCGUUUUAUUUUAAAGUUUAAAAAUCAAAGUGGGAAUCCAUAUACAGUUGAGUUGAAGGGUACAAAGUAAUAUUAACCCCUUUUUUUCCUUUUAUGCUUUUGAUGGUGUCCUAAGCUUACCUCCACUUUAUUAAAGGGUUAUAUUAUAUAUCUGUAUUGAACUUGACUGGCAACAACCAAAGAAGAAGAAUUUGAUUCGGAAUUCACCAACUCGAAAUGGGCAAAAAAAAUCUAGGAUGAUUUUGCGGCCUCAUUAAGGAAAUAUAGAUCCUGAUGGCUAUAAUUAUUAUUGUUUCCUCAUUCUUCUACUUUUCUUGAAACAAAUAUGAAUACAAGAAAAAAGGGAUGGUGGGUACAAGUGAUGCUUGUACGAGUGUCUUGUUCUUCUUGGCAUUCUUUAAUAAACUAAUGAAUACAUCCUUUUUCCUAGUGGUAAAAAUUAGAUUAUAUGACUGGAUUAAAAAAAAAAAUCACUCCAUGACAAUAUCUAUAAAAGAUUAUACCCCUCACAUUUUUGCAACUUAUGUAUAUUCCUUCGUCAAAGCUAAUGCGAUUUAUUAAUUCGCAAACAAACUUAGGCGCCAUUGAAGUCCCAUUUCAUGAGCAGAUAAAUUUUAUUCUCUGUUUAGCUAAAUUUUCACUCCAGCUCUUAUAGGUGCCGUUGAAGUUUAUCCAUAUCCAGUGUCAAAGUUAAAAAGUGAAGAUGCAAGCAUCCAAUGUCAAGGUCAAAAAACCGAGCAUGAUCCCAACAUUCUUCAACUUCAAGGUUAACCUUGUGAGAGCCUUACCUUCCCCUAAGGCGAAUCAAAGGGUUUAGCGGACUGCCUGCCCAACUCUCGCCGGGACUCAGUCAUUCACUCAAACAAAUCCGAAAUAAAAUCACAAGAAUUCAUAUGGCAAAAUCGAAAAUUUAAAAUGAAACUUAUAUACAUUGCUAUCUCAAAAGAAAGUACAAACGUUGAAUAUACAAAAGUUCUCAAUUCACCAAACAACCAGCCCGUGCCAAGCACUAGGGCGAGAACCAUUACAAAAGAAAAAAACCAAGGGCUAGACCCAACUAAUUUAUACAGGCUCUCGUCCUUACUCGCCUUUCCCUGUUAAGGAAAACAAAACUAACGGGGUGAGCUAUAAGCUCAGUGAGGUUCCGAACAUAUAGGCAACAAGAAGUUUCAUGCAUUCAUUACAUGUUACCAAUAAUUCAAAAUACAAAUACAAAAGAAAGCGAUAAACACAUUCAUGGAAAGGAUACGUGCUCACAAGGAGCCAUUCGUUCAUUCGUUCGUUCAUCCAUUCUCCUUUCGUUCCCUUAUACCUUCAAUCAUUUGAAAAUGCAUUUUUUUUAUAAGUAAGCAAAACCCCCAUUCAUUCAUUCGUUCAUUCAUUCAUUCACCCCCUUUCCGGAUAUUGUCCAGGCUCCACCAGACUUCAAGGUAAUACUCGAGUAUACCAAAACGUUCAUCCAGGUCAUCAAAUCGCCCGACCGAGUCCGCUUCUGGUUCGAGUCGACCGGUAACAAGGGGCAGUGGCCAGUUCAGCCCACAGGCUUACAUUCAUGCACAAAUAACAUUUCAAAUCGUUCAAUCAUUGAAAAUGUCACAACCAUUUAGGUCGAGUGCGAUAAAGUACACAUUCGCCUAGAAAACUCGUUUUGGCAAUCAUUGAAAGCAUAUAACAUGUCAGCAAUCAUUCACAUAUGUCAUAUAGUCAAGAAACAUAACAAACAAGAACACUCACCAAGCAAGCAAGUGAUAUUUCAUACACCUCCGCCUAAAGAGUGCCUUGGACCACCGUCACGUCCUAACCAUUCAAAUAAGCACAUAUAAGACUCGUUUACAAGUCAUAAACCAAUUCCAAAUACCAUCAUAAUAGGUUCCACUAGAAAGUAUAAGCAUUAGAGUAAACCAGGAAAAUUCGGAAAUGGAAUUGAACUUCAAUUCAAAAAAAUAGUUUUUGACGUCAUUAUGCGGUUUUAGCACCAACGGCACUACGAUUAUCGGAUGGAAGUGUAAGACCCACCGUUUCGAAGCUAACAGACAGGGCUACAACAUCACAGAAGGUCACUCAACCCAGUUUUGAGUGCAACCAGGUCAAAAAUGCAAGAUAUUACGUCAAAAAUGUAAAACAGAUUCACCAAAACGCAUUCUAGCGGAAACCUCAUAACUCAGGCUCUCCAAGUCCAAAUCCAGAAAUUCCAAAACCAGCUGAAAGCUAAGAAACAGGGCUAAAUUUCAUCAGAAGGUCUCAACAACCAAUUCGGAAGCAAUUCCAGCCAAAACAACCAAUUACAGGCGCAAUUCUUACAUUCGGGUAAAACCAGAACAGCAAUAGUAAUUUCGACUUUUCUCAUUCUAUACUACUCCGAUUGACCUGAAAUUUUGUAGGCACCUCUAAAAUGUCAUUCCCUACAACUUUUAUGUUUUAAGCCAAGGCCAAUUCGGCCUCUAACUAGGAGCUAAAAAUUCGGGCAGAAUGCUCCCUCAAGAACCCUAAUUUUCUGAAAUUUCCUCCAAACCAGAAAUUGGUUACAAUUAAUCACUUUUUCCACCUCUGAGAGUCAUUAUAUACCAUUUCUAAUCAUCAUAGAUAGCCACACAAUCAUGCUUAUAUUAAAACAGAAAAAAAAAUCCCCAAAAUAAUAAAACUUCAUCACUUCAACCACAAAUCAAGAAAUAACCCAUAAACUUGCAUCUCAUACUACCACUAAGCAUGAUUUAAGCAUCAAUUAAGGGAGGAGGGUGGUUCUUCACAACUUACCUUAGUAAAACAAGAGAGAGAGCAACUUGUCACCUUAGCUUCCCAAACAACUCCACCAAACAACUCACAAACACUAAGUGAAGAGGUUUUAUGGAGUAAAACUAAAAUUAAACGGUUAAAAGUGAAGAUUGAGCAAGUUUGGAGCAAAGAAAUUGGAGAGCUUUUCUUCCCUUGUUGCUUGAAGGUGGCCGGCCAUAUGAAGCUUAGAAAUGAAGAUAUUUUGGUCAAUUUUUGAAGUUAUUAUGGUAAAUGGUAAAAGCAUGAAUAGUAAGUCAAAAGUAGGAAUUAAUCUCUAAGUGACACAUGUCAUCUUCCUUAAUUACUUGCCUAACUUUUUUGUCUCUAUUACACCAAUCCACUUGACAACCUCUAAAUAUCUCAUAACACCCGAUAAAUUAAACUCAAUAUCCAAAACUUAACCUAAUUGGGCGAAUUUUUUCGAACUUUUCGCACUAGCGGGUCCCACGUCCGGUAUACGCUCUUAAUUUCUCCAAAGCUAUCCGAUACUAGGAAAAUCAUCUAAAAACUAUAUUUACUCAAUAAAAUUAUUUGGAGAAUUUUCUAAGAAAGAAAAUGUAGAAAAAGGCGGGCGAUUAAUAAAAGAAACCCUAGAAGCUUAGAAAAUUUUCGGGUUCUCGCACUCAUUCUUUCGGGGCGUCACAAACCUGCUCUUCAAGUCUCCCCACUAUCAAAUAAUAACGCAAAGACUCCACCGUCCUUCCCUUCACAUCUCUCCUUCACCCCCCAACCAUUUAGUUUACACUACUGUUUCAUUGAGUUUUGCGAUCCCAUGCGUAGGUGCCGCCGCGUGUGUGUCUGUAUUGGUAUUGUUAAGGAAUGCUGCAUUCUGGGGUGGGUUGCGUCGUAUCAAACUUUAGAUUUUUAGCGUUGUUUAGUUACUGCUAGUGAGUUAGUAGUAGUGGUUAAAAGCGGCAUUAAUUUACAGCUUGACAUUUUUUAAGGUAAUUUACUUUACAUGUUAUUUAACUUCUGAGAUUGCCUUGUUUCGUGAAAAUGUAAACAUUAAAUAUUUGGAUCGGUCAAGCUUUCAAGUUUGUGUUUUCCCCCUUCCGGCUUCGGCUACGUACACCUGUAUCAUCGUUGAUUGGACUAGUAGUGUUGCAGAACGUAGUAAUCCUUUCCGUUUCCUUCAAUUCUUCUUCAUGGUAACUUAACUCUGUCUUCUUGCCGAGCUUUAGAAUUCCAGAGUCUUCAUGAGAGUGGGUAGUAAGUAUUCGAAUAAAGGAGUUUUAUACCAAUUCUACCCUACGUAUUCCAAUCAAAAGAUGAAACUCAUUGCCUUUCUCCCAGGAAAUGAGACACCCAAAAAAAAAAAUUCUGCUGAAGCUGAUGAAAAUUGCUACCCGUAAGAACCCAAAUAACAAGAGAGAGAGAGAUAAUAAGCUUCGGGAGCAAGAGGUUUGAUCCAAUAACUUCCUGUAAAAUAAGGCAGCUUCUCAUACUUAAAUGGAAGCCUCUAUCCAAAAUCAAAGACCAAAAAAAAUUUACAAGUCCCCAUACGGAGGAAACUCUUGAUCACCAUCCCAUCAGAAGACGAGCGAAUGCUGGAAAUCAAGGCAAAUUUCCAUAUUCUCAGAGAUAAUAAAAAAUGAAUAGUGAUGGCGACACUCUAACCUUGAUCCACUUUCAGCUAUUUAUUAGCACAAUCUUAACUGUCAACGCUACCUCUGCAGCUAGUACAACCACCCUGAAGGAAAAGAAGAAUACAAUAAGAAAGAACUGACAUAAAUCAUACAGAGGAAGUAUGGUGUCAAAACUCUAAAAAGAAACAGAAACAUCCUUACAAUACAUUCUGAUUUUUGCUAAGACGCAAAGAAGUUGUACCUAAAAAUCUCAUUCUUCAUCGGAGCAAAAGAAUUAGAGAGAUCAGUUUUAGCUUCUAGCCUUCUUUUCACAUUUUUAAAGAAAUGGACAAAGGAGUGAAGAAAGCAGAAGAAACCUCUCUAAUGACUGUACUAGCAGUUCCUUCAUUGGUUCUUUUACCCACGUCAAGUUGCACUGAGAUGUUGACCUGGGACAAAUCCACCCCAGAGGAUUGGAGUGCAUGCUUAAGGGUAUUCAACAACCUGUCAAUUUUCAAUAACUCAAAAUAAACAAGAUAAAUCAACAUAACAAAAUUAAAAACUCUAUAGCUUUUCCAGGUGCUUAAGAAUAAGAAUAUGGCUCGAGUAUUUAACAACCAGUUCUGCCUUAAAAUAACAAAUAAGUAGGUUCCAUGCAGGGGAGAUGAGAUGGAGAGAGCCAAACUGUAUUUGCACCUCAGAAUCUCACCCUUGAGAGUAAACAUUUGAGAUACUAGCUUCUCCACUAUCCGGGUGCAGCUGUUCUCGCUGGCUAGUUUUGUAGCUUGGAACAGCGCAUUCGGAUGCAGUCAAUUUGCCUUGCCAGUAUUCGGAAGGGGAGUGAGUAGCCAAAUGUUCAGGGUCAGGAAAAGAUCCCUGAGGAGGUUGGGUAGACACAACAUGAAACAAAUUUGGCUGCACUAGCAAAUUUGAAGAAUUUUCUUCAUUUCCUGACUGUUGGGGAUGAUCUGUAGGAGUGCAUAGAGGAGCACCAUUCAACUCAGAAUCCAUUGCCGUCUGGGCAUUAGAAAGCAAAGUUGGAGAGACAAUGAUGUUGUCUUCGUGACCAGAACCAUUCCUCAUGAGCAGUGGUUGAUCAACAAAAUUCUCAAUUAGCCCAGAAUUGCUUCUCUAUUUGCACAUUAAGAGGAAGUCAGUAUAGUUAGAACUUUAGGCUGGACUUAUUCAAUACAAAUUACAAGUAGGUUCAACCGCAAAUAUAAGUCCAGAAGCCACAAUGUGUAACUAAUCCUAAAUUUAAAAUGGUAAUCAAACUUUAAUGCAGAAAUGAUAUUGGAAAUUCACAAUCAGAAAGAAAAGACAAGGAGAAUGACAUAAGCACACACGCCCAGGAUGAAAAACAUCAGAUGCACAACUACUAAAUGAACUUUACCCAAGGUAUCAACUUUGAUGGCUCCUGAUUCCAACCUUGGUAUGUUUCCUCGUACAUCUGUAUCCUCUCCUGUAAGAACUGGAUAUACUGUAUAACCUGGAUUUAACAGCACGUACUGGUUAAAUUGUUCUGGCAAUAAAACAGAGAAGAGGGAAAAAAAUCACUGAAUGAGAACUAACAGCAAAAGUAAAGGGCCAAAUAGGAAAUACACCUCCAGCAAGAAUGAAGCUUUAUCUCGCUUCUGAUCAUUUUCAGGGAUGAUAUCUCUUAAAAUUUGGAAUCUGCAUGGACAAACAUAAUUUUUAGCUCCAUUGAACUUUGUGACUUAUGCCCAGAAGGCAAGAAAGUUUGGGCUCUAAUAUAUAAGCUUCAACGUGCACAGAUUGUCAUCCACCAAAUCAUGCUUGAGAGAGUACAUUUUAGAUUGCAAUCUCAUUGACAGAAGCCAAAUGAGAACAAAGGCAAAAUCAAUAAGACAGGAAGACAUUGCAAUGAGUAUUUUCAAAGCAACUAACCUCAGCAUCAUCCAUUAAUCAAAAGAAUCAAAUCAAAAAAUCCAAAUUUUACAUUGAUCAUUUACCAAUCGAUUAAUGAUCUGAAACCUUACAAAGAUGGUAUGAGAUACAAUAUAUUUCUUGAAUCAACAUAUGCAUCACUAGAUUAUAAAUCUGCAAUGAUGUCCAUUUCAAACAUAUGCAUACUCCAUCUCUAGAAAUCACUACCAUAGACUGAUUGAGCCAAGAUACUAGAAUUUGCAACCACUUAGAGAAUAAGGUCACUGUUAAUACACAUCAAAAAGGCCUUUCCUUAUUUCCAACUUCAAAAUCAGAUACUGCUAUUUCCAACUCAUUCGCUCAUCCUGGACUCUGUUUCCACAAUUUUCUCAAGUCAAAUCAGGAUCUCUUUUGCUCAACAAGCCUAUAUACUCCAAAAAAUGCAAAAGUUCCUGGGAACUUCUUCUUAAUCACCCCACCCAAUUUACUCCUCCCAACUCAACAAUGGAUUGUACGAGCCAUUCUUCAGUUCCACUUAUCACUAUUAAACAUAAAAAAGAGAAUCCAAAGCAAUCUUAUCCUCAAACUGCACAACAACGGAUCACAAAUAAAUAUCCAGCAUAAAAAUACUCCCCAUGGAGCACAACAAAAUCCUCAGCUGCAAAUAAAGAAGAACACUUUAGCACUCAAGCGUGAACUAAUACAAACCUAAUCACUAGAAACAAUAGCAGAAGAGAAAAUCACCAGAGCAGGAGAACUAGGUGAGCAAUUGAAUAAAGAGGGAGUACGUUUUGCAUAUUCAUUAUUAAGAAUAUACAGAGAAUUCAUCGCACAGGGUAUAAGGACAGUACACAGUGUGGUACUUAACACAUUUUCGUGGAAUGGAUCCGUAUAUUUUCACAGAAUUCAUGCCCUUAGUAAUAAUUUCAUAAAACUCAUGCUACCCUCCUUAUUAACAAUUUGAUGAAAGUCAUGCAACCAUUUUUAUUAAUUUGAUUAAUAAAAAAACCCAGUAGUCCACCCCUCGAUAAUUUCCCUAUAGUAGUGGGAGAUAUGUCACCCUCAUUCUAACAAAGAAUAGAACAACCCGGGGAAAAAAAAAAGAAAAGGAAAGGGAAAUGCUUGCCUCUCGUUAAUUUUGCUUCUCCGCCGCUGUUCUGUCUCGGAAUGCUUCGACCGCAGAGCAUUGACCUUCUGAUCAUUACCCUUUCCCUCCACUUUCACUGCCCACCCAACCCAUUAAAAAAAAUGUAAACGUAUAUAUAUAUGGAAAAAAAAAAUCACCAGAGCCCAAAGCAUAUCUGAAAAAGUUAACAAAAGUCAACCUUUUUGAGAGGAAUUUUCAGGAGUAGAGGAAGCGAAUUCUUCAUCGUCAAAAUCGUCGUCUUCCUGCCGGCUCUUCGAGGUUCUCACCAUUUACCGGUUACAAUUACAAUCCUCCAGCCCUAAAAAAGAUAAUAACAACGAUAAUAAUGAUAACACACACACAGUCUCUCUCUCUGUCUCUCUCAAUUUCUCUCUCUCUCUCAAUUUAUGCACUGCUAAUUGGAAAAGCCCUAGAUGGGUGAGAACAAGCGAAAACGCUUUCAGAAAAAACUAAGAACAAAGAAAGUAGCACCCGUACU